RNAcentral lists this ribosomal RNA (491 nucleotides) under bacterium ROME1145sh. RNAcentral's name for it is "bacterial SSU rRNA". It matches the Rfam family "Bacterial small subunit ribosomal RNA", at positions 14 to 484 of the family's 1533-position model. The record is from RNAcentral.
UGAUCAUGGCUCAGAACGAACGCUGNCGGCGUGCUUAACACAUGCAAGUCGAACGGGAUCCAGAGCUUGCUCUGGUGAGAGUGGCGCACGGGUGAGUAACGCGUGGAUAACCUGCCCUGGUAUCUGGAAUAACAUCUCGAAAGGGGUGCUAAUACCGGAUAAGCCCACGGGGUCCUCGGACUCUGCGGGAAAAGGUGGCCUCUGAAUAUGCUACCGUAUCAGGAUGGGUCCGCGUACCAUUAGCUAGUUGGUAGGGUAAUGGCCUACCAAGGCUACGAUGGUUAGCUGGUCUGAGAGGAUGAUCAGCCACACUGGAACUGAGACACGGUCCAGACUCCUACGGGAGGCAGCAGUGGGGAAUUUUGCGCAAUGGGGGAAACCCUGACGCAGCAACGCCGCGUGAGUGAUGAAGGCUUUCGGGUCGUAAAGCUCUGUCAGUAGGGAAGAAGUGUAAGGGUGUUAAUACCAUCUUUACUUGACGGUACCCACAA